This 446-nucleotide ribosomal RNA is filed under the name uncultured bacterium. RNAcentral's name for it is "bacterial SSU rRNA". It matches the Rfam family "Bacterial small subunit ribosomal RNA", at positions 330 to 793 of the family's 1533-position model. The record is from RNAcentral.
UCCAGACUCCUACGGGAGGCAGCAGUGGGGGAUAUUGCACAAUGGGGGAAACCCUGAUGCAGCAACGCCGCGUGAGUGAAGAAGUAUUUCGGUAUGUAAAGCUCUAUCAGCAGGGAAGAAAAUGACAGUACCUGACUAAGAAGCCCCGGCUAACUACGUGCCAGCAGCCGCGGUAAUACGUAGGGGGCAAGCGUUAUCCGGAUUUACUGGGUGUAAAGGGAGCGUAGACGGCUGCGCAAGUCAGAAGUGAAAGCCCGGGGCUCAACCGCGGGACUGCUUUUGAAACUGUGUAGCUAGAGUGCAGGAGAGGUAAGUGGAAUUCCUAGUGUAGCGGUGAAAUGCGUAGAUAUUAGGAGGAACACCAGUGGCGAAGGCGGCCUGCUGGACGGUAACUGACGCUGAGGCUCGAAAGCGUGGGGAGCAAACAGGAUUAGAUACCCCAGUAU